RNAcentral lists this unclassified non-coding RNA (316 nucleotides) under Hevea brasiliensis (rubber tree). The record is from RNAcentral. Lineage: Eukaryota; Viridiplantae; Streptophyta; Magnoliopsida; Malpighiales; Euphorbiaceae.
AACCUUUUAUUUUACUGUUCACAGGCUGUCCUACAUCAGCUUGGUAUUAGAGCUUCAAGAUCCUUGUGUUUUGUCAUUUCAACUAUGGUGAUGAACACUGAAUUAAAUUCCAAAUAUGAUUAUUUUCAACAAGAGUUUAGUUCCUUUUGUCAAGAUAAUAAAGAUAUGAAGCCGGAAAUGGACUCGAUGGAAGCUAAGCUGGAUAGGAUCUUAAGAUAAGAUAAUGUCAUCUAUGAACUCUAGUGAGCAACUAUUAGGACCAACAAUUAGUCAAGUUCCUCAAGCUACACUUAGGCUUGAUACAGGGAAACCAAAA